This 253-nucleotide ribosomal RNA is filed under the name uncultured bacterium. Its description in RNAcentral is "partial 16S ribosomal RNA". It matches the Rfam family "Bacterial small subunit ribosomal RNA", at positions 524 to 776 of the family's 1533-position model. The record is from RNAcentral.
UACGGGGGGGGCAAGCGUUGUUCGGAAUUACUGGGCGUAAAGGGCUCGUAGGCGGCCAACUAAGUCGGAUGUGAAAUCCCCAGGCUCAACCUGGGAACUGCAUCCGAUACUGGAUGGCUUGAAUUCGGGAGAGGGAUGCAGAAUUCCCGGUGUAGUGGUGGAAUGCGUAGAUAUCGGGAAGAACACCAGUGGCGAAAGCGGCUCUCUGGGGACCACCUGACGCUGAGGCGCGAAAGCGUGGGGAGCGAACCGG